UAAACGACUCUCGGCAACGGAUAUCUCGGCUCUCGCAUCGAUGAAGAACGUAGCGAAAUGCGAUACUUGGUGUGAAUUGCAGAAUCCCGUGAACCAUCGAGUCUUUGAACGCAAGUUGCGCCCGAGGCCUCGGCCGAGGGCACGUCUGCCUGGGUGUCACGCA
Molecule: ribosomal RNA, 163 nt
Filed under: Terminalia chebula (chebulic myrobalan)
Lineage: Eukaryota; Viridiplantae; Streptophyta; Magnoliopsida; Myrtales; Combretaceae
Description: 5.8S ribosomal RNA
Rfam family: 5.8S ribosomal RNA
About the family: 5.8S ribosomal RNA (5.8S rRNA) is a component of the large subunit of the eukaryotic ribosome.
Source: RNAcentral